Mauremys reevesii (Reeves's turtle) is the source of this 528-nucleotide long non-coding RNA. RefSeq lists it as uncharacterized. The transcript is spliced from 5 exons. The record is from RefSeq and is a predicted model, not a curated record. Lineage: Eukaryota; Metazoa; Chordata; Testudines; Geoemydidae.
UUUUAAUUCAGACUGUUGAAAACUCUUUGUCUUUUUUUGGGGAAAAGUUCCCUUUGACCUGAACAAAGCCUUCAUUGUGAAUCCCUUGAACACUGGAUCUGAAGCAGAAUCCAAAACUCAGGGCCAUCUCUCCAUCACUCCAUCUGCAGAAAGAAAAGAUAUACCACUGGCAUCAGCAGUGCAAGAUUCCACCUCACUUGGACCACCAAUUGGUUUGACUUUCAAAGAUGCUGACCACUCGCAGCUGCCACUGACUUCAAUGGAAUUUCUGGGUGCUCGGCACUUAAUCAAAUUAAAUGUGCCUUAACCCUGACCUGGAAUGGUGAUUCUAGGAAUGGGAGACCAAAUGGAAUGAAAACCUCAACAUUCUGAUUACUGGAGCCAAUCCUAGCAGAGAGAAUAGAAUAGCUAAUCACAGCUGAAAGAUUUGCAUAGUCCCCAUAAGACAUUUCCCCACAGCAGCCUAAGAGCAGCAGUCCUGGACCUGUCGGGCUGAGCAGAAAGAAAACGUGUGGCCAUCAGUGAGGG